GCCAGCAGCCGCGGUAAUACGAAGGGACCUAGCGUAGUUCGGAAUUACUGGGCUUAAAGAGCACGUAGGUGGUUAAAAAAGUUGAUGGUGAAAUCCCAGAGCUUAACUCUGGAACUGCCAUCAAAACUUUUUAGCUAGAGUGUGAUAGAGGAAAGUAGAAUUUCUAGUGUAGAGGUGAAAUUCGUAGAUAUUAGAAAGAAUACCAAUUGCGAAGGCAGCUUUCUGGAUCAUUACUGACACUGAGGUGCGAAAGCAUGGGUAGCGAAGAGGAUUAGAUACCCUCGUAGUCCAUGCCGUAAACGAUGUGUGCUAGACGUUGGAAAUUUAUUUUUCAGUGUCGCAGCGAAAGCGUUAAGCACACCGCCUGGGGAGUACGACCGCAAGGUUAAAACUCAAAUGAAUUGAC
Molecule: ribosomal RNA, 406 nt
Filed under: uncultured bacterium
Lineage: Bacteria
Description: bacterial SSU rRNA
Rfam family: Bacterial small subunit ribosomal RNA
Source: RNAcentral